This is a long non-coding RNA of Strongylocentrotus purpuratus (purple sea urchin), 913 nucleotides long. RefSeq lists it as uncharacterized. NCBI's taxonomy places the organism in Eukaryota, Metazoa, Echinodermata, Echinoidea, Camarodonta, Strongylocentrotidae. The record is from RefSeq and is a predicted model, not a curated record. The transcript is spliced from 3 exons.
GAUACAUCACUCGGAAAAGCAGUUUCCGCAUCACCGAGACUGAGGCCAUCCACAUCAGGCGGUAUUCCUCGUGAUGAUUCAUUAGCAGAGGUAGCUCUGAAGCCAGGAAAACAACUUCCUUCGGAAAAGCAAGGAGAUUCAUCAGGCGUUGUACAUGUAGAUGCAGCAAACUCGAGUCGUGUAACAAGAAAUACCUUCAUCGGUCAACAGAAUAUCACCAAAUCUUCCCGAAAGAGACGUGAUUCCAAGGAUGAUGGAGGUCCAAGGAAGCGAAAGAGGAAGACAGACCGAAAGGCUGACUCUAGCGAUGAAGAUUAAAUAGCAAGAGAGGACAAACAAAGGAAAAGCCACGAUUUUAAGGAUGGCAGUCUGAAUAGAACUCCAAGGAAGAGAAUAAAGAAGACAAACCGACAGACGCCUCCUUGAUAACUUUCAAAUUCGUAUUUUUACUUUUUAAUAUUUCAAUCCUAGGUUUUUCCUCAUUUUUCUUUUUGUUAUGUGGGAGAUUACCACAGAAAAGAUACACUCUAAAAAAUGGGUCAUUGAAUGUUCUCAUAGUCGAAAUAUGACAAUACAUUUCUGAAACAUCUGGACCAAAUUUCAUUCCACUUGUUUAUGUAGUCCCAUACAUCUGUAUCUCUGAACGGUCAAUGUGGCUUCCAGCAAGAAAAAAUAGAAUCAAUAUGAUGAUCUAAAAAAAAACUUCAUAGUAUACAGUUAUAUGCGACUUAACAUUUCCAAUCGCUUGCAGUCAAUUCAUUUUCAACUAUUUAAUGGAAUGAUCAGAAUCCAACUUUAUCUUCAAGCUAUUGUUGUACCUUGACGUAUACCAUUAUGUUACAGAAAUGGAAUGAAAUGAAAAUUUCAUAAAGUGUGAAAUAUCUAUACAACAUAUAGCGCAUUUAAACGUGUC